AUACAGAGGGUGCGAGCGUUAAUCGGAAUUACUGGGCGUAAAGCGCGCGUAGGCGGUCUAUUAAGUCAGAUGUGAAAUCCCAGGGCUCAACCUUGGAACUGCAUCUGAUACUGGUAGACUAGAGUUUUGGAGAGGGAAGUAGAAUUUCAGGUGUAGCGGUGAAAUGCAUAGAGAUCAGAAGGAAUACCAGUGGCGAAGGCGACUUCCUGGCCAAAAACUGACGCUGAGGUGCGAAAGCGUGGGUAGCAAACGGGAUUAGAUACCCUAGUAGUCC
Molecule: ribosomal RNA, 274 nt
Filed under: uncultured bacterium
Lineage: Bacteria
Description: partial 16S ribosomal RNA
Rfam family: Bacterial small subunit ribosomal RNA
Source: RNAcentral